UGGGGAAUAUUGCGCAAUGGGCGAAAGCCUGACGCAGCGACGCCGCGUGAGGGAUGAAGGUUUUCGUAUCGUAAACCUCUGUCAGAAGGGAAGAAACCGCACUGUGCUAAUCAGCAGUGCCUUGACGGUACCUUCAAAGGAAGCACCGGCUAACUCCGUGCCAGCAGCCGCGGUAAUACGGAGGGUGCAAGCGUUAAUCGGAAUUACUGGGCGUAAAGCGCACGUAGGCUGCUUUGUAAGUCAGGGGUGAAAUCCCGCGGCUCAACCGUGGAACUGCCUUUGAUACUGCUUAGCUUGAAUCCGGGAGAGGGUGGCGGAAUUCCAGGUGUAGGAGUGAAAUCCGUAGAUAUCUGGAGGAACAUCAGUGGCGAAGGCGGCCACCUGGACCGGUAUUGACGCUGAGGUGCGAAAGCGUGGGGAGCAAACAGG
Molecule: ribosomal RNA, 429 nt
Filed under: Fusobacteriota bacterium
Lineage: Bacteria; Fusobacteriati; Fusobacteriota
Description: Fusobacteria bacterium partial 16S ribosomal RNA
Rfam family: Bacterial small subunit ribosomal RNA
Source: RNAcentral